UGGAUCAUCAAUGUGGCUGGCAAAGCAGUCAAACAGACAAGAAGCAUGGUGAUGGAUAAUUUUGCUCUUGAUGGGUAUCAAGCCAUAGCUGUAGGACACCAGGUAGGCUCAUGCUGGGAGUACAUUGGUCUUCUAUCUUUCAGAGAUGACCUUAGAAGUGAUAGUGCAGAUUCCAUUGAUAGCCUUAUCGAUUUGGGUUUGGAUAUAAGAAUCCCCACAGAAAGGCCAUUGUUUUGACUACAAAGCAAGUAUGUGCAAAGCUUGGAAAAGUAGGCAUCAAUGUGUUACCUGCCCACUCGGUGUUUGAUUUAGCUCGUAAUAACAGAUAAGUUCACUUAAACAUCAAUGGGAUUUCUGAUCUCUUUCCAGGUCUGUUCUUAUUUGGAGCGGUGUCCAGUUUUCACACUCCCCCCCCCCCAACCCCCUCCAAAGGAAAUCUUUGGAAGAAUUUUCUGUUUAUGUUGACAGUUUGAGUAGUACUUCUAUGCUCUCAAGACAGUUACAGCAUACAUUUUUAAUAACAUUAAGGCUUUGAUUUGCAGAAGGCACAAAGGCUCCAGUCUUACCAUUUUGCUAUCUUGAUUUAUUUAGUGCAGACGAUAACAGUGAUAUAGUGAGAAGGCUAAGAGAUUUCGGAUGGCAUUGCGCAAUGAUUGGCCUGUCCUGUUACCUAUUUCAUCAGCUGUGCAAAUCAGUAGGGAGAUGUGUCAAAUUAUGAGGGGUUACACGAUCUACACUGUGUCAUCAACUGUGUGUCUUGUGAGUCCAAUUAUGACAGUUGGUAUCCAUGUCAUUUUACUCUUGUGGAACUUUAACUUGCCAAGUUUCCUGGCUUUGGUGAUUGCCACUUUUAGCUAUUGUACAUCCUUUGCAAUAUUAUUUGAAAGGGUGGAACUGAGUAAUUCACCAGAUAGAUAGAGAGUUAAGAAAAUCAUUGCAAGCGGUGUUGCUUCUGGUAGCUACAUAAUUCUGAGUACAGCCAUUUUUUUCAGGGCUGCAACACUUCCAGACUUCUUUUCAUAUAAAUUCUGAGGUAGAUCGCUGAUGGGCUCCGAUGAAGAAAUUAGAGCUGCUUUGUUCCUUCAGAUGAGCAUAGUGAACCAGGCUGUACUGUUUGUUCAUUCUGACAACUGCUACCUUAUCAGAUGUCCUGGACCUGUUGUAGCAUGUACUUUUAUUUUUACUCAGAUGCAUGAUAAUUUGGCGCAGGAUCAAUGUGUCUGGCUAGGGAUGAUUGGCUAACAGUUGACAAUGUUAAGAGUUAAGCCAUUGUGGCAACCCAUAAAACUGUAUAUGGUGACUUGGAUUUGGCACUACCAAAGGGUGUUGGUUGCCUCAGAGCAGGAUUGAUAUGGUUGUACAACUUUGUGGUGCUCAUGACCCCUGUUUUAAUUUGUCACACAUGGAGGCGUGCAAACAUGACUAGUGAAAAGUUGCUGACAAUAUGCAUACAUUCAGCCAUCUUGCGUAUAGCUUUGCUCUGGUCACUGUAUGCAAUACUUGAUGUCAGGCUGCAGCAGCCGGGCUCUACUUAGAUGCCUCAAGUGUAGGAAAUAUUCUUGUAGCCAGUCAUUUUUAAGUGUAUAACCUGUAAAUCCUUCAAGUAAAUAUAUCUGGAUCGCAAAGUUAUACAUCGAUCCCUCUUUUGUCUUUAUUCAGAAAACACAAUU
Molecule: long non-coding RNA, 1670 nt
Organism: Triticum aestivum (bread wheat)
Lineage: Eukaryota; Viridiplantae; Streptophyta; Magnoliopsida; Poales; Poaceae
Exons: 11
Source: RefSeq, a predicted model, not a curated record